Molecule: long non-coding RNA, 770 nt
Organism: Heterocephalus glaber (naked mole-rat)
Lineage: Eukaryota; Metazoa; Chordata; Mammalia; Rodentia; Bathyergidae
Source: Ensembl
CCAAUCACAUGAAAAAGAAAAGUCUUAACUUCUGGAGGUUCCUACGUAUGAGUAUUUUUUCGUGAGCUUGAUUAGGCUUUCACCUAGCAUUUAAGAUUCAGAGUAUAAACUGUCCUAAGCUGUUCCCAAAUCUAAACAGAUAAGGAUUAGAAAAAUCAACUUCUAUACAUUUGAAGUCAGUUCAGAUCCAGCAGGAGAAUACUGACAUCCAACUGUCUAAGUUCUGCUUCUGAAAGAGCCUGAAGACAAAGGGUAGAGCACUCUCUUCCCAGCAUUCUAUUCCUUUUCUUCAUUUUUAAGCCAAGACAGCCAGCUACUGGGUGCUGUGGAUCUAACCCAGUACCAACUAUCUAUUGAUCCCUCCUGAGGUUCUUCAACCUUCCUCCCUCUUCUCCCAGUGGGACAGAUGAAAGGACAAUGCACGUGGACUCAAAGCCUUUCUUUGUCAACUUGCAGUCUUGUCUACCUUUAGUGGGGAUCCAGACACUUACUACUUUGAAUUUGUCUUCGACCUGGUGUCCUUGGGUCAGCAGAUGUCAACUCCCUUUGGAAAAGUGAGCCAGCAGCUAUGCAAAACACAGAAGCCUGGCAGCAGAGACUGACAGUCAAACUGACACCAGGUUCCUGGGCUGUGUCACCGUGUGGACAAGGUCCGAUUCUGUGGCCAGAAGAGGUGACUUCACACAUCCAAGUGAGACAGAAGGAACCCAGAAAUGGGGCCACUGACUCUUUUAAAACUAUAUCUAGCUCACAAGUUAUUCAAAUAUGUG